Molecule: ribosomal RNA, 422 nt
Filed under: uncultured bacterium
Lineage: Bacteria
Description: bacterial SSU rRNA
Rfam family: Bacterial small subunit ribosomal RNA
Source: RNAcentral
UGAGGAAUAUUGGGCAAUGCCCGCAAGGGUGACCCAGCAACGCCGCGUGGAGGAUGAAUGUCGUAAGAUUGUAAACUCCUGUUAGAGGGGAAGAAUAGUACCGGUUGGACCGGUAUAUGACUGUACCCUCAGAGAAAGCCCCGGCUAACUACGUGCCAGCAGCCGCGGUAAUACGUAGGGGGCAAGCGUUGUCCGGAUUUACUGGGUGUAAAGGGCGCGCAGGCGGGAUAAAAAGUCAGUGGUGAAAUCCUACAGCUUAACUGUAGAACUGCCUUUGAUACUUGUACGCUUGAGUUCGGGAGAGGGAGACGGAAUUCCAGGUGUAGUGGUGAAAUACGUAGAUAUCUGGAAGAACACCAGUUGCGAAGGCGGUCUCUUGGUCCGACACUGACGCUGAGGCGCGAAAGCGUGGGGAGCAAACA